RNAcentral lists this ribosomal RNA (420 nucleotides) under uncultured bacterium. RNAcentral's name for it is "bacterial SSU rRNA". It matches the Rfam family "Bacterial small subunit ribosomal RNA", at positions 39 to 455 of the family's 1533-position model. The record is from RNAcentral.
GAAUUCGAUUCAGGCCUAACACAGGCAAGUCGAACGAUGAAGCACGUUCGGGUGUGGAUUAGUGGCGAACGGGUGAGGAACACGUGAGAAAUCUGCCUUCAACUCUGGGAUGAACUCCGGGAAACCGGGGGUAAUACCGGAUAUGAGCCUUGAUCGCAUGAUCGAGGCUGGAAAGUUUUUCGGUUGAAGAUGAUCUCGCGGCCUAUCAGCUUGUUGGUGAGGUAAUGGCUCACCAAGGCGACGACGGGUAUCCGGCCUGAGAGGGCGACCGGACACACUGGGACUGAGACACGGCCCAGACUCCUACGGGAGGCAGCAGUGGGGAAUAUUGGGCAAUGGGCGAAAGCCUGACCCAGCGACGCCGCGUGAGGGAUGAAGACCGUCGGGUUGUAAACCUCUUUCAGUAGGGAAGAAGCGAAA